Molecule: ribosomal RNA, 362 nt
Filed under: Salamandra salamandra bernardezi
Lineage: Eukaryota; Metazoa; Chordata; Amphibia; Caudata; Salamandridae
Description: partial 12S ribosomal RNA
Rfam family: Bacterial small subunit ribosomal RNA
Source: RNAcentral
GCCAUAAACUUUGAUUAUCCGCCAGAGUACUACGAGCUACAGCUUAAAACUCAAAGGACUUGGCGGUGCUUUACACCCCCCUAGAGGAGCCUGUUCUAUAAUCGAUAAUCCCCGAUAAACCUCACCACCUAUUGCCAAUACAGCCUAUAUACCACCGUCCAGCCCGCCCUUUAAAGGGUAAACAGCAGGCAUAAUUAUAAACAUAAAAACGUCAGGUCAAGGUGUAGCAGAUAAGAUGGAAAGAAAUGGGCUACAUUUUCUAACUUAGAAAACACGGAUGGUUCUAUGAAAUAGUUUCUGAAGGAGGAUUUAGCAGUAAAAAGAAAUUAGAAUGUUCUUUUUAAGACGGCAAUAAAGCGCGC